This 468-nucleotide ribosomal RNA is filed under the name uncultured bacterium. RNAcentral's name for it is "partial 16S ribosomal RNA". It matches the Rfam family "Bacterial small subunit ribosomal RNA", at positions 28 to 507 of the family's 1533-position model. The record is from RNAcentral.
GACGAACGCUGGCGGCGUGCUUAACACAUGCAAGUCGAACGGAAAGGCCCUGCUUUUGUGGGGUGCUCGAGUGGCGAACGGGUGAGUAACACGUGAGUAACCUGCCCUUGACUUUGGGAUAACUUCAGGCAACUGGGGCUAAUACCGGAUAGGAGCUCCUGCUGCAUGGUGGGGGUUGGAAAGUUUCGGCGGGUGGGGAUGGACUCGCGGCUUAUCAGCUUGUUGGUGGGGUAGUGGCUUACCAAGGCUUUGACGGGUAGCCGGCCUGAGAGGGUGACCGGCCACAUUGGGACUGAGAGACGGCCCAGACUCCUACGGGAGGCAGCAGUGGGGAAUAUUGCACAAUGGGCGGAAGCCUGAUGCAGCAACGCCGCGUGCGGGAUGACGGCCUUCGGGUUGUAAACCGCUUUCGCCUGUGACGAAGCGUGAGUGACGGUAAUGGGUAAAGAAGCACCGGCUAACUACGUG